GAUGAACGCUGGCGGCGUGCCUAAUACAUGCAAGUCGAGCGAACGGACGAGAAGCUUGCUUCUCUGAUGUUAGCGGCGGACGGGUGAGUAACACGUGGAUAACCUACCUAUAAGACUGGGAUAACUUCGGGAAACCGUAGCUAAUACCGGAUAAUAUUUUGAACCGCAUGGUUCAAAAGUGAAAGACGGUCUUGCUGUCACUUAUAGAUGGAUCCGCGCUGCAUUAGCUAGUUGGUAAGGUAACGGCUUACCAAGGCAACGAUGCAUAGCCGACCUGAGAGGGUGAUCGGCCACACUGGAACUGAGACACGGUCCAGACUCCCACGGGAGGCAGCAGUAGGGAAUCUUCCGCAAUGGGCGAAAGCCUGACGGAGCAACGCCGCGUGAGUGAUGAAGGUCUUCGGAUCGUAAAACUCUGUUAUUAGGGAAGAACAUAUGUGUAAGUAACUGUGCACAUCUUGACGGUACCUAAUCAGAAAGCCACGGCUAACUACGUG
Molecule: ribosomal RNA, 497 nt
Filed under: uncultured bacterium
Lineage: Bacteria
Description: partial 16S ribosomal RNA
Rfam family: Bacterial small subunit ribosomal RNA
Source: RNAcentral